This is a long non-coding RNA of Zophobas morio, 1968 nucleotides long. RefSeq lists it as uncharacterized. The transcript has 3 exons. Lineage: Eukaryota; Metazoa; Arthropoda; Insecta; Coleoptera; Tenebrionidae. The record is from RefSeq and is a predicted model, not a curated record.
UACUUUAUAUCAAAUAAUACAUUUCAUGCAUAGUAACAUUUGAUCUUAUAAUUACAUGUUUCGGAAUAAUGAGCUUCAUAUCUAUCAUUUCAAGUACAAUUUUUGUUUUUGGAAAUGAAAUUCCAAGUGAUUAGAAAAUAAAACAAGCUCAAAAAUGUAUGGAAACGAUGCAUGACGUUCCAAGAUAUUAAUUCCUAAAAUUUAAAGCACACCCUUAAGCAAAUAUCCAGAUUGGCUCCAUAAGUAGAAAAAUAAUUUAAGAGAUUAACAAAAACUUGUACUGCUAAUUGUAGAAGUGCCUGUACACACAACCAUAAAAGUAAAUUUCUUACUCCAACUUAAACUGGUAUUUUAAAAUUGACAUGUACGCCUUUCUUGGAGAAAUAUAAAAAGAGAGGUUAAAAGCUGCUAAAAAAUAGUAAUGUUUCUUUUUUCGAAAUCGCGCAGUAAUGUGCUUUUUCUAUGUUCAAAAAUCGGCACAGAAAUUAAAUGCGGUGUUGUCAUAUUAGUAUUAUCUACCUCCACAAUUACAUUUUACAAGGUUAUAAAUUGUUUUUCGGUUUAGCAGUAAUUCUAUACUCUUUGAUAACCCUUUUUAUUAGUUAUUAGAAACACAUCCGGUUUAUUAAUUUUAUAAAUAUAAUUUAUUAACUAAAUUUGCGCGUAAUCUCGCAACGUCGCAACCUUGCAUGGCAACAGCGGAUUUCUUGAAGUGCAGCGACAUUCUAUGGCAGCGAACAAUGUGUAUCCACAUAACCUGUAAUAAGUUUUUGUUCGGUGCAGAAACAACCAUGGAAAACAUUAUAUGGAGAAUAUCUCAUUUUGCAUACGAGUAUUUCUCUGAAAAAGAAAAUUCUGUGAAAUCAACAUUUUGGGCUACAUAGUCGUUGUUAAAGUCAACUCUGUUAAUAUAAAACAGCGUAGAUAUAAUCUAAGUACACCAAGUUGUCAAGCAAAAAAUAUAGGUUAUGUUUCCCAGAAACCAAAUAUAUUUACAAGAGAAAACUUACGAAAAUUUUUAACAGAGGCCCGUGAUUAAUGUACCUAAUGUCAAAGGUAUAUUUUUUAUUCGAAGUUGUAGGAGUAUGCGGAAAGGAAGAAUUUGAACAAUUUUCUUGUAUCUACAUAACCUAUAAUAAGCUUUUAUUAUUAUUACAGAACAGAUUAUUAGCUUACAUGCCCAUUUUAAAUGAAAGUAUGAAGCAUACCUCUUAUUUUUCGGCACUUUUAAUAUUUUUGCUUGCAGAAAGAUCUGCAGCAAUUGCAAAAUAGAGAUGGAUAGCAAUAAUAACAAGCAGUUUACAUGCAUUCGACCGAACUUGCAAAAACUGGCAGAUAAUAUAUCAAAUUUAUUACCUAAAAACUCAGCCACAGUUUAUGAAAAGCGGUUUAUUUUUUAUUAGAAGUUGUAGGAGCAUGUGGAAUGGAUAAAUUGAAAAAUAAUGACGGCAUUCAAGACAAAAACGAUACGCUAAUAAUUAAAAUUCCAACGUCUAAAACUGGCAAAGCACGAGAAUUUACAAAUAUGUGUAAAAAUAUUUAUCCAAUUGAAAUAUAGUAAAAAUACCUAAUUUUAAGACCGCACCAUACACCAGACAAAUCAUUAUUUAUACAUUACAUUUGGAUAGUGAAUGCAGCAGCUGCUGCAUUGUACAAAUAUACCUGCAAACACACUGUAACAAAUUAUGCAGACACCUCUUUUGACUAAAAGAUAUAUAUUUAACUUUAUCCAUACGUUGUCAACUUUGUUAAUAAUUGCAAUCUCUAACUUCAUAAGAAAUAUGAAUAAUCUACUUUGGUGUUUUAUAAUAGUAUUAAAUGUUCAUAGAAUAUAAUUGCACUUACUACGAAGUAAGCUUUCCUAGUUUUAAGUUGUUUUCUUUUCUCUUUGAUUAUCUUAAUUUCUUCAGCCUCUAUGUGGCUGUUUUAAUUCCAAAAAAUUGUUUCUGAAUAAACUGAUUCAUACCA